GAUGAAGAACGCAGUGAAAUGCGAUACGUAAUGUGAAUUGCAGAUUUCAGUGAAUCAUCGAAUCUUUGAACGCACAUUGCGCCCGCCAGUAUUCUGGCGGGCAUGCCUGUUCGAGCGUCAUUUCAACCAUCAAGCGCCUCGCUUGUGUUGGGGCCCUGCGGCUGCCGCAGGCCCCUAAAUCCAGUGGCGGGCUCGUCGUCGUACCGAGUGCAGUAAACAUCCUCGCUCAGGGAACCCGACGGGUGCCGGCCGUGAAACCCCCCCUCCUCAAGGUUGACCUCUGAUCAGGUAGGAAUACCCGCUGAACUUAAGCAUAUCAAUAAGCGGAGGA
RNAcentral lists this unclassified non-coding RNA (331 nucleotides) under soil metagenome. RNAcentral describes it as "partial contains 5.8S ribosomal RNA, internal transcribed spacer 2, and large subunit ribosomal RNA". The stretch from base 1 to 120 matches the Rfam family "5.8S ribosomal RNA", at positions 35 to 154 of the family's 154-position model. The record is from RNAcentral.